Molecule: ribosomal RNA, 254 nt
Filed under: uncultured bacterium
Lineage: Bacteria
Description: partial 16S ribosomal RNA
Rfam family: Bacterial small subunit ribosomal RNA
Source: RNAcentral
UACGUAGGGUGCGAGCGUUGUCCGGAAUUAUUGGGCGUAAAGAGCUCGUAGGCGGUGUGUCGCGUCGGCCGUGAAAACCUGCAGCUUAACUGUGGGCUUGCGGUCGAUACGGGCAUCACUGGAGUUCGGCAGGGGAGACUGGAAUUCCUGGUGUAGCGGUGAAAUGCGCAGAUAUCAGGAGGAACACCGGUGGCGAAGGCGGGUCUCUGGGUAGUAACUGACGCUGAGGAACGAAAGCGUGGGUAGCGAACAGG